CCCGGCGAUCAUUGCGUCUCGAAGCUGCCGGAACUCUGGCGGGGAGGGGAAGGAAAGAGAAAUAGAGGAGAGGGUGAGAGGGUAUCAGGGUCGGGAGGUGUGACUCCUCCUAGCGGGGAAUUGAAGAGGUUUGCGCUGUGCGCUUGUGUGUGAGUGUGAGCGUGAGAGCUUGGUGCCAGAAAGCCAAAGCUGGGAAACCUGGCCUUGGUUUCAUAGCCAGUUAACCUUGUGAGCCCAGCCAGUGACCUUGACAUCAGGGAAACUUCCUGAACUCCAAACCCACUUAUCUGCCUUAUCUGUUGGCUCUCCCACUUCGCAUACAGAUUUGUGCAUUAAAAGAACGGAUACUUAUCUGCAUGCACAGUUCUUAAUGGUAUAGCAAAGAGCAAGACAAGUUUGGGCUCUUAACAGUGUUUACAUUCUAGGGAUAGGAACAUACAAAAAAGAAGGUGCUGUAUUUAAGCAGAAGGUGGUUGGAAACAGAUUGAACCUUAAUGUGCAUUUUAACUUUUUCUCAUUUUUUUUGUUCUUGGCCAGCAUCUGAAACAAUUUCCUUGUAUUCUCGGAAGGCUGGAUAGCAGAUACCAUCGUCCCGGCCGAAUUCUUUCACUUUUCUGCUUUAAUCCCUUGAAUUUGAACACAGUAUCCACUCUCUUAGUUUAUCAUCCAAUUUUAAUUGUUCACAUAGAGUUUAUAAUUAUUUGAUGUUUAUCUUGUUUCCCACAAAUCCUUUUGUUCACCAUGAUGCUUCCAGAGUCCAAACUAGGCCUCUCAAAAGUAUUUGGUGAAUGAAGUAGUGUGGAAAAUGCUUUUGACAAAGGACAGAGUGGAUGCUGUUCGGAGGAGUAGUUUAGGAGAGAAAUUAAGGUGGUGAUGGAAGCAAAGACCAAUUGAUCUAUUUGAAAUAGAAGGUAACAUUAAGGGACGGUUUAGAUAUGACAGUGGAAAACUAGCCGGGUUAGAGUAACCCCUGCAUUUCUAGCUUGCAUAACUGGAUGGCUAAUGGAGUUAACCGCUGAGAAUAAGGAAGCUAGAAAAGGAACGGGUUUGCAGUGAAAACAUAGGAGUUUGGUUGCCUUGGAGACAUCCAAGAGAAGUUAAGUAGGCAUCAUUGAUGCCUAGCUGUGAGUAUAGAGCAUAAGAAAAAAAAAAGCUGCAUGUUGUGCAUACUUCAUAGUGAAGUUCUGGGAGCCCAGAUGCUCAGACUUUCCCACCGCAGUGCCCCUAGUGGCAGAAGAUAAGAAUGCAGGUGGCUGGACUCUAAAGAGACAACAAAGAAAGAAGCAAUGGUUCUGGAGUCACCCCCAGAAAAGACUUUAUGAACCAGAUGAAUAAUAUCUGGCAGGGACCAACUCUGGCUACCUCUCACACCGUCCCAAACCCUAACGCCCCAGGAUGGUCUUCACCUUCCAUCACAAUAUGAUUCCAGAAGCCUGGCUAGGACGGAAUGGAGAAACAACAGUUGGUGGUUUCCCAGGUCCCUUCUGGAAAGUCAGAGCGAGGCUGGCGUUGGCAACCUGACUGUCCUCAGGCACAGCAGCUGUUGUAACAACUGGUCUCAUCCGAGUCUCCAGCUUCACAACCCUGCCCAUGAAUCCAUUCAAGAUUCUCAGGAUCUCAAGGAAUCUCCAGCUCCUUGAUGUGAUGAAGUCUGUGUUAGUCAGCUCUCAACUGCUGUGACAAAUACCUGAGAGAAGUCAAUUUUGGCCUGUGCUAGCCCAGGAUCUCAUGGCAGAAGAGGGCUGUUCAUCUCACCAGCACCUGGGAAGCCCAAAGGAAGAGCGUGGAAGAGGCGGGGCCAGGGUCCCAAUAUCCCAUUCAGGGGCACACCCCCAGUGACCUCACUUCCUUUCACUGGGCCCCGCCUCCUAAAGCUUCCACCACUUUCCAAUAGCACCACAGAGGACCAAACCAUCAGCACAGGGGGACCAUUUAGGAUCCAAACCAUGGUACCACCUAAAGGAGGAACCUCCUCUGCCCCACCCUGCUCCGGUCAGAAUCUCUCUGCAUGACAUUUGUCACAGCUUCUCAUGGAGACACCCUGACACCUUCUCAUGGAGAACUUGUUCAUUUCUCCAUGGAUGACAAUUCCAGGUGGCAUGUGUUCCUUCUAUAGAGUGGUCUGCUUUCCAAACAUGCCUUCUCAGAGAAGCUCAUUUUGCCAUCUGUAUUGGGAACCUGAGAUGUGACAACGCAGGAUCUAAGUGGAGUGGCAUGGAAGCCCUUCUGUUCCUCCUGGAGACUGUGAACCAGUCAGUUGCCUUUGACUCACCAUCCUGCUAUCUUAUCUUCUCAGCUGAAAUGAGUUUCAAGUUGUCCUCCUUCCUUUCAUCCUUCAUUCUGAAAAUGGCACAUGCCGUUAGUAGUCAGGGACCUUUCUGCUCACCUCUUGACCGUGUGCUCAUUUCCACUCUUUUGAUGUCCAUAGUGACUUUCGUCAGACACCUGCCCUGGAGCAGGGGCCUCCUGCUUGGUUUUUCUGUCUUCCAUCUAGCUGUGCUAGGGCUAGGAGAACAUCGGGAACAAGGAACAAGAAUGCUUUCCCUUUCCCUCAAGGCUGCAGUUCCUAGUGGACCACAGUUUCAUACAGUGAUCUCUAAGACAAGGUCAAAGUCUUGGGCUUUUCUUGUAUUCUCCUAGCUCUUGGGAACAUAGCAAGGCCUCAGUAAGCUGUGUUCAUCACUGAAUACAUUCUGCUGUGGUCUCUCUGACUCUGUGCCCCUGGGCUAGGCUGGGUCUAUUAUUCAUGCAAUGAAGAGAAUGUGAAAAACAAAUCCAUGGUCAAAUGUCUCCAUUUACACUAUACUUGAACCUAGCCACAGCAUAAUCCCAUGAGGCUUGAGGAAUCAGCUCUGGGGUACUCCCUGCCCCUUGACUGACUUAGUCAUUGUUAUGUUUUGGCUAUGAGAUGGUGGUGCACCUGACUUUUAUGGGUGAUGGACGUGAACUGUUGGGUUCGCCCUCUUCACUUCUGAUCUUGCCAGGACAAGAACGUAGCCCCAAGCCUGCUGCUCCUGCGUCAGUUCAAGCCUCAGAACGAGACAGGGCUGAUGGCUGCCCAGCUGACCUGGAAAUAGAUGCUUCCUGCUCUGCACAUCUGUAGUUGCCAUAGAGCAAAAGUUGAUAGAUGCAGAAUGCAAAGCCCCUUCCCAGGGCCCCCCCCCAUGGUUCUUGGUGUCCUCUUUAAAGGCAUUUGGGGACACUUUUGCCCUUAUUGAUUGCAUUCCACAGCUUGAUCCUGCCUUAGGGCUUUGAUCUCCACUUAUAAUGAACUUUUUUUUCUACUAUGUGAUUGGAUCUCUGCUGGUGAUAAUUGCGGUGAAGCAGGUUAAGGGGACAGUGAGUCCUGGCAGGUGCAGAAGGAAGCUGUUUUAGAUGGAGUGAUAUGAAGAGGUGACAUUUGUGCAGAGAGCUGGAGGAGGAUUGAGUGGUAACUGAAGGCAGGUGGGAUGAGACUGGAGGAAGUAGGUCAUUGAGGGUUGCCUUUGGAGUAUGUGCUUUUGAUCAGGCGAGUGGAGUCUCUCUCUGCUUCCAUAUCAUCCUGUGAGCUGCUUCCCCCCGCCACACUCCUCCGCCAUGAUGCUCAGCCUCACCUAGAGUCCUGAGGAAUGGAGCCUGUGUAUGGAGUGAGACCUCUGAAACCAUGAGCCCCCAAAUAAACUUCCCUCCUCUACGAUUGUUCUGGUUGGGCCUUUUGAUCACAGCAGUGAAAAGGCUGGCCAAAACUUGCACUUCUACUUACCCCCUGGGGAAAACCACAUACUACCACCAGGUGGCUUCCCAAGGCACUAGAUUUGAAGCCACUCCUGCUGUCUCGCCACACCUGAAAGCAGGAAGUGUCAAGUGGAAUCUGUCACCGAUGUUUCUAUUUGGGCUGCUGAUGGGGGUCUGUGCAAAAUGAGAUCUGAUUCGCCUUGUCGAGGGGUAGUUACUCUGGGAUGGUCUUUGGCUUCUCUGCUCACUUCAUCCAUUUCGAACUAUUCCCAGGUCUCUAUUCUCAGAGGCAGCUGCAAAUUCGGAGCACACAGAUGUACCCUCCGUCUUAGAUUACUCUUGCCAACGCACAUUACCUUAUGUUUAUUUGAGUUAAGUUUCAUCUGCCUGCAGGCUGCGCAAUCCCCCAAAGUGUUUCCAUGCAUCUGGAAUGUCUUGCAGAUCUCCUUAGUUUUUAUUAGCCAAAACAAUUUGGAGCCAGUUGAAAUCUCUGGGAAGAGAUUAAGUGACAAUUAUGUGACAAUUGCUCAUGUAAUCUCUGACCAGGUAGCUGAGGCAGGGCCUGCUGGGGUGCAAGGAAGGAGAGCGCUCCUCUUUGCUGGUCCUGGUCUUGAACUCAGCCCUGGAAAGGCGCCAGGGAGCUCAUCUUGGUGUUUGCUUCUGCGAGUGGGAUAGGUAGAUGUCUGUGCUUCAACCAGGGCUUGAGAGACACUCGUGCUGGGAGCCAGGGGAGGCGCAUUGCAUAAGGUUCGUUUUGUCUGGGCAAAUUAGUUACCAGAGCAAGAGAGCCAGAGGAGGGAACAGAACAAGAACUGGCAGGAAGAGAACUGGGGAGAAGGAGGCUCACGUAGCAGCCUGUUCAGAUACGUUAAAAUACAGGCAAUCGGGGGAGGAGAGACAGGAGGGACCCAGGGACUUGUGUACAGAGUCUGAGCCAUGGCUUCCUGAAAGCUUGGCAUGAGGGACACAGCAAGGAUGGAAGCCACUGCCCCAAGACUCCAGAUAAAGAUGGCAAAGAGCAGCCCAAGCUGACGGGAGGGGGGACAAUGAAAGGAGCCACUUGCAAGAGCCCGUUCUCUUUGAGCUUGGCUGGAACCAGGCUCUUGUGUGUGGGCAGCGUCUGAGCAGAUCCCAGAAUGUUCCAACGAGCUAAUCUAGUCAGCUUCAAGCUGUUCCACAGACAGUGGGUGUGAAUCCAAAAUCAUCCUAGAUGUUCAGCUUUAUAAUGUUUCUUUUAAAAAGAAGAAGAAGAAGAAAAAGGCAUGGGAGAGACACCAAACCCAAAUGAUUCCUUUAGCUCUGAGCGGGUGACCUGCGAAGGCAUCGUCCAGUUAGUUGGCAAAUGUCGUGUGCCCAGGGUGGGAAGGAGGGCUGCGGAUGCUUCUUCCCUCCCAGCACCAUCCUUGGAAGGGCUUCUUUCUCUUUCUGCCUCAAGGAUACUCAUCUUAUUUCUGUUCCAGUUUUAGAAACAGGUCAGCAGCAUCCCACUCACCUCCAGUCCCUAGAGGUGGGUCCCUUUGUUUCCAUGGUUACUUUUUUGUUUUAAUUCAGUACUGGGAAUUGAACCUAGGGGUGUUCUACCUCUGAACUAUAUUCGCAACCCUUUUUCAUUAAUUAAUUAUUUUGCGGGGUCUAGGGGUUGAA
Ictidomys tridecemlineatus (thirteen-lined ground squirrel) is the source of this 5358-nucleotide non-coding RNA. The record is from RefSeq and is a predicted model, not a curated record. Lineage: Eukaryota; Metazoa; Chordata; Mammalia; Rodentia; Sciuridae.